Molecule: long non-coding RNA, 682 nt
Filed under: Homo sapiens (human)
Lineage: Eukaryota; Metazoa; Chordata; Mammalia; Primates; Hominidae
Description: HSALNT0092905
Source: RNAcentral
CUGGCAGCUCGUUUUUCUGAAUCCUGCAGCAGCCACCAGGCUCUUCUCAGGGCUCCUGAAAUUCCGACCAUAGGUUUAUUUGUAUCUAUCCUGCUUAUUUAAAUAAUAAGAAGACCAUCGCAGAGGGAAGGCGAAUCCCCAUAAGUAAGGCUGUUGAAAAUCCUACAGCUACAGAGAUUCAAGAUGUAUGUUCAGCAGUUGGACUUAACGUAUUUCUUGAGAAAAAUAAAAUGUACUCUAGAGAAUGGAAUCGUGAUGUCCAAUACAGAGGCAGAGUCCGGGUCCAGCUCAAACAGGAAGAUGGGAGCCUCUGCCUUGUACAGUUCCCAUCACGUAAGUCAGUAAUGUUGUAUGCAGCAGAAAUGAUACCUAAACUAAAAACAAGGACACAAAAAACAGGAGGUGCUGACCAAAGUCUUCAACAAGGAGAGGGAAGUAAAAAAGGGAAAGGAAAGAAAAAGAAGUAACCUAGUAUCAGCAUCAAGUAUGUGGUACUACUGUAAGAGACAUGAAUGGAGACUUCUAAUUUGUAUCGGAGGGAAACAGAAGCUUUUUGUUUGCAUCAUUUAACUGAACUGUGAACCCUUGUGCCUCUCAUCUUUAUCAUCGGAGUUGACAGUGAAACAAAUUUACAUCAGAAGUUUGCAUCUCGCGUAUAUGCCGUAUAAAAGAAUUUUUUUGU